Long non-coding RNA from Coffea arabica (coffee), 4797 nucleotides. RefSeq lists it as uncharacterized. NCBI's taxonomy places the organism in Eukaryota, Viridiplantae, Streptophyta, Magnoliopsida, Gentianales, Rubiaceae. The record is from RefSeq and is a predicted model, not a curated record.
GUUUCCAUCCGUUCCAUUCUGCUCGUACCCCGCGUGUUGUCCUCGCAUAGGGACACGCUUAGCGGUGGAUUAUGAUACGGUACAAGAACCGUUGCUAGAAAGCUUGGCAGUUUCCACUGCCCUCUCAUUCUUUUCUUAGCUUUCUUUGCCAGUUGCUUUUUUUUCCUUCGUCUCUUCCUACUGAAUUGUCUCCUACACCACGUCUUUCUUCAUAGUUGAACCUAAGUGUUCUGGAAAGAGUGCAAGAACCGCUGCGCGAAGGCUUUGCAAUCUCCAUUACUGUGUCUCAUUUGUUUCUUAGUCUGUGCAAAACUAGAUCUUCGAUUUUCCUAUGAUCGGCGGAGUUUGGAGUGCCAACCUCGACAGUUUUGUUGCUUUUAGCCAGAUUUUGAAUUCGGUGUGUUAAGCAUGGUGCCAUGAAACAAUAAUUGGAAUAAGGCUGGUGGAGCAUCUGUUCCUUUUUGGUGUCUUACUCCCUUGCCCUACUGAACACAGGAGUAACGGACAAGAGGCCUCUCCUAUUUAGAGGAUAAAGUUUGUGAUUCAAAAAAAAACCAGACCAGUUGUUAGAGCGGGGUAGGAUAGGCAAUUAACAUGAUUGGUCCCGUUUCAGUUUAAGUUGUUGGAUGUGAGUACGUCGGAUAAGCGAAAGCAAGCAGGAAAUUUAUAUGCUGUACUUUGGCUUCUUUUCUUUCAAUAUUUAUGGAGCCUGCGCAUUGGAGUAAGUUUUGUUUAUGGUUCUGUGAAUCAAAAGUUAUGGUACUACUCUUGGGAGGGGUGGGAAGCGGUUAGUGAAAACCUCAUUACCAUUCAUUUUUUACGCAUGUUUUCUUUCAGUUUGGGACCUUUGGGUUAACUAAUGCAGCAGGUUAUUGUUUUUUAAGUGCUAAAAUUAUGAAGACGCCACUACUGUUAUCUCAAAGAUUUCAUCUCCAAGAAUCAUUGAUGCACAUCACUAAAAACGCAUACAAGUUUUCUAACUCCAUCCCAUUACAAGCAAACAAGAAAUAGAGAAGAAGGGGAAAGUAAUAGCAAAGCCACAAAAAAGGGAGUCCGAGGAGCACGGAGGAGUCAUUGCCUGCUGACCGGAAUCCACCACAGCCACUGCCAUCGCCAUUGUCGUUGAAUUUCUUCACCAAAAGAGCAUUGUGAACUUUCGAUGGUUUUGAAAGGUGAACUUUUCACUCUACUUCUAUUAGCUUAUCGGUUUUGAGUUUAUCAAUUUGCUGAUCAUAAUUGAAGGUCGCAUUGAUGUGAUUUGUUUGUUGUGCUGAUGUCUUUUGUUUUAUGAUUAAGGGCUGUAUUUUAGACAGGUCAUUCAAACUUAUUUGACGUGCACACCAUAUAUUCGCUAUAUGUCCUCAUUUAACAUCUACAAUCAUUGUGUGUUAGUUUUUCUCUGUUUCAGAAAAUUGUAUGAUGUUUUGGAUUGGUUUAAUGUAAUUUCAUCAAUGCAUGUUUCGAUUGUGAUAUGGUAUUUGCUUGUUCUUUUGUUUUUUGUAAUUUGUUAUGAUAUUAUGGUUCCCUUCCUGUGUUUACAUAGUACAUUAUAUGGUUCACGUAAAUUUGAAUAUUGCAGAGCCAAAAAACUGGUGUCAUUGUCAACGGUUAUGAAUAAAGAAAAUAAGUAAGAGACUUUCGAUGCUUAAUACCCAAGCCAAUGAAAAUGUCCACUUGGAUAGAAACCAAGUAGUUCUUGAUUUGUGAUUAGUACAUGAAUUGGCAACCAAACCCAUGAGCAUUUUGUUUAACCACUUCGAAAUAUUCAUUUGGUUUUAGAUUCUGUUGAAGAUAAAAUACCUUUCAAAUCUUUUGUAACAAGUUGGCAAACUAUUGCAAAAUUGACGUAGCCAGAUGUAGAUUUUUAUAUUGAGCAACAACUUCUUUGAUAUCAAAACUGGUGGAGCAUUAAUUUGUCAUUUUUUUAACAACUCAUUUAUAAUGUAUUGGAGCAAUUGAUUUUUCUUCUCGUAAACAACACCUAACAGGUUUUGCAGUUCCUAUAACCUUCUCUUAUUAUAAUAUCUGUAUAGUUUAAUCCAUUAUAAACUAAUAAGUUUCCAAAAAGAACCAGAAAAGCUAUAGAACAGAAAGGAAUAUAUGGAAGGCCAAUUGGAUGCUAUUUUUCUCUUUUUCUUUCUUUAAUUUUCCUUGUGUAAGACAUGGCCAGGCAUUUCAUACUUUCUGUUUCACUUUGUGUUUGUGUGUGUGUAUAUGUGUUUUAUCUUUUUCCUAUUUUACUUUGUGGGUCUAGCUAAUGUAGUUUGUAAUCUAGCCUAUGAAUAUAUCCAAUUCAUUUUCUAUAUUUGAGAUUUAAAACAUUAGAAAUUACGCAGGAAACUAAUCAAAUUAAAAGGUGUUGAACAUCAAAUUUGCAAGUUCAAUUUUUUUUGAAUGAGUUUAAUUAGGUUGUCAAGAGACAAACUAUUAUAAACUAAUUACAUUAAGGUAUUUGUAUUCCAGAGGCAUUACAACUAACUUUUCUAUCCAAAACCAAGUAACAAGAAAAAUAUAGGUGAUUUUCUAAACAUAUUGAGAGGUUAUUACAGUUGGUCUAGGUGUCAUUCCUAACUUCAAUAAAUGAAUGGUGGUCUAACAAUAUGAACUUGUUAGCCCUGAAUUUAUGCAAUGUAAAGCUAAGAAAAGAUGAUGUGUUUUUUUUUUUUGACAAUUAGCUAUACUUUUUUUUUUUUUGAGUCUGAGCAAGCUUAGACUGUUGAAAUAUGCCAUGGUAGUGAAAUUAGUUCCAAAGAUUCUUUGAUGUUAAAUUCAGGCCACUUCAGAAGAGCGUUCAGCAUGAUUGAUGGGUUAAAUGUAUAAUUUUUGGUUCUCUUUUUUUUCCAGGAAAGGAAGUCAGUUUUUGUCCCAAGUCACUUAUGAAAUUUCACGCAAGUAGCUAACUCUUGAAUUUAAAACAAUUGGAUUUCCCCACUUUUGCAUGAUUUCUUUUUCCCUUGCAUAUUUUGUCUCUUCAAACCAAAUUAACAAAAAAAAAAAAGAGAAAAAAAUGAGAGGCAGGGUCUUGUUCGAGGAAUAGGGAUGAGCUAUUGUUGCCGAGCAGAGUUCGCCACCACUAUUGUGGUGGCAAAAUUUCUUCAUCGGAAAAGCACGGUGAAGUUUCUUCAUUUUUUGGGUUUUCUGAUCUUGUUCUCCAAUUAAUUGGGUAUCCAUGAAACAAACACAGAACACACUCUCAUCUCAGGAGCAACUUAAACGAUUGAAGAACUCAUUCUCAUUUCAGACAUUUCAUUCUCUAGAAUCAUUAACCAUGGAAAAUGAUGGAUAUUGUGAAUGGAUGAAAAGUUGAAUUCAAUCAAAUACAGUUGCGAUUGUCACCUCUUGGUUAUAAAUGUUCCAUAACAGCUAAUUUCUGCUCUGUUUACUCUUUGUAGUAUUUUUCUCCAUCCUAAUUAGUGCCCAAAACCUAUUUGUAAAAUGCCUUAAAGCCAGAUUUAGCUUUCUGAAUUUAAUUAAGAUAAAAUGUUGCAUGCUUAUACUAGGUGUUCUAAGGAUUGCAGAUAGAGACAGCUUAUUUGUUUUAAACCAAGUUUACCACGUUUAGAACCAAGAUAGAGAGAACUCAUAUUGGAGGGAACUUAUUUGUUUUAAGUCAAGUUUACCAUCAUUAACAUAUUUUUGUAGCCUUGGACAAGUUGGAACAUUUACUGUCUUUAGAGUCUAAAGCAAUACAAUCAUAGUUAGAAAAUGCAUCUCCUCAUGCCAAUGUAUGACUUGGGAAUUAGGAUGAUGAUGGUAUUGAAUAGGGCUGGUCACUUCUUGGUUAUAAAUGUUCCGUAGCAGCUAAUUUCUGCUCUGUGUUCAUAUUUCAUUCUGUUUUUUAUUUUUUAAGUUCUGUUUUCUUACUCACCUUUGUUUGGUGAUUUGAUGUUUUGAUUUCAGAUUUCCAAGUUAGCAAAGGGUAAUAAGAUCUCCUGUUUUAUUCCGGUGAUUUGAGUUUCAGAUGAUUCUCUAUUUAUGUGGUGCAUGCUUUGAUUUGUGUUCUUUACGUGAACUUUUGCCUCCAUUUAUGUGGACCAUUGUCUCAGGGCCAACUUCUUCUUCCAAUUGAAAGCUUCCAUUUCCUAAUUUUGCAAGUUGAGCUUUUCUAAAUGAGUCGCCGUUGAAAAUAUGCAAGCUUAGAAGAAUCGUAUGAAGAAAGGAUUAGAAAGAGACGUGAGCAACGUGCCAGUCCGAGUGCUAAGCAUGACUGUGGUAGAUAUCAAGGUGUACGUAUUAUGGCUAUAAGUGCAUUUAACAUAUGCGAAUCUAGCAUGACGAGGACAACAGGAAAAGGUGAUAAGGUUCAAAUCAAUGAGAUGAAGAAGCAAAAUCAUUGAUGAGUGUAAAGUGGAAGAGUCUACAUCAUCUGAGUCCAUUUUGGUCACAUGAUAUAAAAGACUCAGAGUGGCAACAAGAAGUCAACAAAGGCGAGCACUACCCGGAGUUGGAGUUACAGCCACGAUGCUGCCCACACAAGUAUGCCUUUUGGGCAAUAAAGGAGAGUAGCUCAGGAAAUAAAAAUAUUGAUGAAGCUGUGGCAAUCAAACUAGUUUUGUGCAACGCAGUGGAAAAACAGUGGAGUUCGCAACAAAGAACUUCUGAGACAGCUUAAAUACCGAAGACCUCUUGAUAGCAGAAUGGCAACUGUAAUUGAGGACAUCCUAAGCUUAACAACGUUGUUCCGACUGUGCCCCUUUUUACUUAGUUAAUGAAGAUAGUAUUAGUGGAAAAAUUGGCUCCUAUGUUUUAGGCAUUCUUUUGGAUGUGGAAGGCGUUAUUUCUUAAUGUUGUUGAACA